UUAUUAAAAAAAAAAAAACAGCCCAAAGGUACAACUAAGAAGAAGGAAAGAAAGAAGAAUCACACAACUUGUAUGCGUAGUGCCAAGGCACUUUGUGGGUUGCAAUCAUACAAUUUCCAUAGUGCAAAACGUCUCAAUUUGUUACCAUUUGGGCAGCCACAACUCACAAAGGAGGUACCCAAAUGGCCCUAUUACUCACUCAAAUCAACUCCUUCAGCAUAGCUCUCAUGUACAGUUUUCCCUAAACAUAUCUACCACAGCAUACGUCAAAAGCUCUAUUUUUCUAGCACUCUUUUGCACCACCUCCAUAUUCUAGUGCACAAGCAAAGGAUCCCACAAGGAGAAUGACAUGAAAAAGGAACAAAGACCCUACCAUAGGAUCAAGAAACAGCCACCCCAUCUCUGUUGCCAUUCAUCAAACAAAAUCUUGUAGGCUUUGGCUUGAAAUUCCUCCUCCUUUGAAGAUCAUGGCUUGAUGGCUUAAUGAUUUGGAGGAGAAAGGCCUUUACUGAAUUAGCCUUGGCCAUCACCUCCAACUGCCACUGUCUGGAUGAAGGACGAACUAGUGCUCCACUCGGGACCCUGUCGAAGUUCCUGUGCAGACUGCACCUGAACGAGCCCGGGUGUGUGGUGGGAGAACAGAGGCAUGGUCUGGUUGCAGGGUGGGGCUUUGAAUUGGGAGGUCCAGAGGCCAUGGGACAGUUUCACCACAAAUCUAUAUGAUAUGAUUCUGAUUUUGGUGUGGCAAACUGAUCAGAGGUUGAAGGUGGGUGUGCUUUUAUAGGUUUCUUGGGCUUGUAGUUAACUUCUUGACCUUUUCUUUUAAUCCCAUUUUCAACUUUAUCAAAUGCUUGCUUCUCUUUGAAUAUUAAGAUAUUUGAUUAUUAGGUUAGCUAGCAUCAUUACCAAUCUAGAAUCUACCUCUCCUGUGCAUACAACUUAGAGGGCAAGAUUGUCUUCAUCAAAGAAAAUGGUUGGCAGUUUUAAAGGAACAAGCUACAUGACAUAAUAUAAAAGCCUUUGGAAAUGAUGCUGCACUACAUCAAAGGAGACCACUUAACCCUCAUGCUUGUGAUAUGGGUGUGUGAUCAGUCGAUUGAAUUGAUUGAAUUGGCUCGGAUAUCAGACUUUUCCAGCUAGACUCUAGGGACAAUUGCGUGGUGCAAGGAUAUGGAAAAGAGGGUUUCCGUUGUAUCCCCUUAAUUGGUAUGUCACAUGGGUGUGUAGAGGCGUGUGAAGAGGGCAUGGCCCACAGGCACUCCGGCUAUAGACAGAUGGUUAAGCAUGAUAAGGACAUGUACCAACUCUCAAGACAUUUUGGGUAGAGGAAUCAUUGGAGUUUUACAGACAACAAGAUCAUGAGUCCAUGACUUCCCUCAAAUGAUUACCUGCGCUUAAGUCCAUGGUUGGGUGCUUCCAAUGUGUCCAUCCUGUGUCUGAUAAACCUAGUCUCUGCUGAUAUUGAUUGCUGGUGAAACUCACGUUAUGGCCUUAGGUGUCCCGUGAUUUGUAAAACCUAUCAUAUUUUAUUAUUUUACAGUCCAAAGUUGUUACAUCUUUGGCACUGCUGAUUGGAGUUUGAGGAUAAGGAGUUCCUAGGUGGAAGGCAGGUACUGAAGAGACCAGAUUUGACACCAUCAGCGGUGGUCAAGGAGCCCAUGAUUAUCACCUUGGAUCAUUCCGAAACUUAAGCAUGCCUACCUGUCCACACAUGAAAGGAUCUAGUCUCUUCAUAUGUUCGGGGAACUAAUUGUUGUUCAAAUAUAUUAUUCAAGAGGAGCUAGUUUUGGAAUUGGUAUUUUUGGUGAAGGCCUAGGUUGAGUCUAGGUUUUCGUAUCUGUAUUUAGAAACACCAAACCAAGGAAAAGAAAAAAUGUGACAACAACAAUAGAUUGAUUCAUUUACAAAGAUAAUAUGUGAGCAAAUAUUAUCAAUGAGUAUUUCUCCAUUGAAAGAUUGCAGGCCACCAAAAUAGACCGAGCAAGAUAGAGUGUUUAUCCUCUAAGGCCAUCAAGGAACAAAGAUCCAAUUAUGUUAUGAAGAUGCUAAAUUUGUUUCCGAAUGGUUUAGAAAGUAUGAUGUGAGCAAGGGGAGGGGAGGAGAAGGAUCAUUCUUUAAUUAUCUUUUUAUUGAAAAAUAUGAUGUGAAAGAUACAGAGAGGACUUAGAUUCUUUCAGAACAGAGGGACCUCAAUAGACAAUGAUUUGUCCUCCUUUUUUUUUUUUUUUAUUUACGGAGUUUUUUUUAUGGGUUUCUUGUGAAAUUUCUUACUUCUAUAAAUCUCUUCGUUUUGAUAAGAUUGGUAGCUUUAUAUUGCCUUAGGAUGAUAAUUUUUCACUGUAGCAAUCUUUUUUAUGCUUUAAACAAAUUUAUUUAAAUUUGAGGUUUUCCCUAACGACUUGAAGUUGUGUUUUAGUCCAAAGGAACUUCCUUUUCGCAAACUCCUAAACUUUUCAUGUUGAAUGGCGUUGAACCCAACAAUGGUCGGAUACAACAUUUUUCGAUGUCCACACACUCCAGCACAGGAUAUAGGUAAGUGGAGGAGAGUUCUUAUGUUGCUUAUUCUUCGGGUAGUUGUGUGCAAUCUUAGAAAGCUACCUUACCUUAAAUAGAACAUGGGACACUUACUAGAGGACACGCAUGCCCUCUAAGAUGAUCUAGCGUGGUUCAUUUUGAUUAUUUGUCGACCGCCUCAUGAAUAAAUCUGCAUAAUAAUCAUAAUGUCAUUUGUAAGGAAAGGGUUGACCAAACAACAACCUAGUAUGUGUAUUUUGAUUUAAUCUCUUUUUAUCCUUUUCGUUGAGUCACUACACUGAAUUAAUAAUCUGACUACCUUUAUUUGUAAAGAGUUCAUCCCUUGCCUAUUACUUGAGUGCUAAUUACUUUAAUUUGUAUGAAUUCACCCCCCAUGAAGAGGAUCUUUUUACCUAGUUACCUAAGGGGCAAAAUGAGAUUGUUAUAAGACAUCAACCUUGGAUUUAAUCUCUUCUCAUCUAUUUCAUUAUGGGAUUUUGUACUAACUUUAAUUGUCACAAGAGCGUAGUCUCACUACCCUUUAUUUGUAAGAGUUUGCCCCGACCAAGAGAAUCAACUCAAGUGGUUACUUAUGAGACAUGGUAGUAAAUCAGAAGACAUCGACUACGACUACCCUUUUUUGGAGGAGUUCCUUCUAAUGAAGUACUAAUGGCUCUGCUCGCCUCACUACCCAAGGACAAGACAAGCUAGUGGUUGAACUCGUCCACUAAUCAACCUGAACCAAGAUCCCCGUAGACCACCAUCCACAACACUCUAUGGGAGAUCAUCUGCCUGACAAGCAUUCCACUUGGUGAGGCACUGGAGAGUCAUCUCGAACAGAGCAUUCCACACAAGACAACUUAAAAUGUGUCCCACUCGACUCAUGUCUACGAGGAUGCAGCGCAAGCAGAGAAUGUCGGCCACCAUCGACCUCAGUGUCAUGCUAUCAAAUCGACAGACGACAUAAGAAGCACGCGCCAAGCCAAGCUCGUACAAUGGGGCAGGUAUAGCUCGUGGGCUAUCGACAUAUAGCGCCUUGUCGGUCACUCACGCCAUGAGCCCACCAUUAGAUACAGUGCUUAGGAGGAGCAGGCACGGACACAUAGAACCUUUCUUUGAAACACCCCUCCUGGUCAAGCAACCAACUGCCUCAACCGUCCGAGGGGACUUUCUGAGAGAUCCUCAGGAACUCCUUUUGCAGGUCGCCUCGGCUGACCCUUUGAUGCUAUUCUGACCAGUGUCUCAUCAAAAAGUUCGUCCCAACACAACCCUCAUCACGGCACAUGAUCAGGAGGGGAGCAUCCUUUAGGACUUUUUUCCUUUUUGGUCAGAACAUUUUUUAUGAAAUAGCCUGUCAACAAUAAUGGUUUCCUCUUUCAAGUACUUUUCAUCUUUAGUAACUUUCAAGCAUUUUGCCAGCCACUAGCCAGUAAUGAUUUCCUUAAGAUGGUGAUCACAAAAGGCUUCUCAAAAUGAACCUAAUUAGCUUCUAGAUCAAGGUCCAUUCCAAUUAACUUUCCAUUAAAGUUGUAACUGAAGGAAGCAAGCAUUCACGUAAUUCAUAGAAGUGGAGCACCAGAGGGGCAUCAAGAAGGUUGAAAGCUGAAAACAUGACAAAUAUCAUAGCUGGCAUUAAACGUAACUACUCUAAUGUACAGAAACUUAGAAGUAUACCACUCAAAUAUACAUUAAAGAAACUACACUAUCUAAUGCGAAGAACUAAACUAGAAAAUCUCUAUGGAGCCUUCUCUUCAUAUGGAGCUCCAUAGUUUCUAGGCAUAUGCGUCUUGGUAUAGACACGAUGUCGUCGCUCUCUUGCAUAGAUUACCCAGAAGAUUAAUGACAUCAUUACAGCAACAGAUACCAUUACUAACCCAGUGUAUAUCCAUUUACUAUAUUUCCGCAACUCAGGACAAUGAUCAUCACUGAUAACAGUGAAUGUUUGCCUCACAAAAGUGCAGUCUUGGAGAUCAACCAAGUAUGGACCAUAAUGAUACAAACCAUAGCUGAUGUUCACUGCAGCCGCCAUUUGAUUAUAGUAGGAGGGGGUCAGUCGACCAGGAGUGGUACAUAUUCCAGAUGCAGAUACCUGACAGACAUAGUUGCUCCACACCUGCUUGAAACAGAUAUUCAGAUAAAUUAGUCGUAUUCUGAAAUCUCAGAUAACAUUCAUAUUGGGAAAACUAUGGUAGAGAUGACUGAUGAGGUAAAGGUAUGUUUCAAACCACCAGAGAAGACCAAUAGCCAUUCCAAAAACUUAGUAGGACUGUUAUAUCAAGUACAAACUAUAAUCCUCUACAAUAUUAAAAUCCCAGAAAAUCAUCAUCACACAUAAUAAAAUCAUAAGACCUAAAGAAAAGGCCAACAGGGAGAAUAUGCUUCUAAAAUCAUAUUGAAAAUUACUGGCAGUUUAUAAUCUUGGCUAUUAAUGAGAGAUUUUCUGGAUUGCUGAUUGAAGGUGAAUUGUCAAAAUGAUUUAAACUAGAACAUGACACCUAGGUAAAAUUUCAAAAAAUGAGUUUUAGCUAUAAAUGGAACUGCAGAAAAGCUUUCUGCUUUGCUAGGCUCUCCUAGGUGCCCCAAUCUUACUGUAUACUGCCUGUGAAUUCCUUCUAGGCAACUCUGCCUUUGUUUUGUGCACCAUUGAUAUUUACCUGUGUUGCAUUGUCCAAGUCCACUUCACCAGCUGAACAUUGCCUAGCUGUGAGAUCAGCAUUAAACGGGUUGCAGAGAACUGGAACCAAUGGACCAGAUUGAUUGAAAUACAAAGGAACAAAGUUGGGUGCAAAGUUAAUAUUGCUGACAUUGGUGAUGACAGUAUUAACCACGGUGACAAGUUGGUAGGUAACAUCCUUAGUUCGCAACAAGGUUUCCUGAGCAGUUGCAUUGUCCACACAUGGCAAUAUAUCAUCUAAAGCUGUACGGGCAGUGGGGUUCUGUACCCAUUCAUCCAUUGCAACACAUGUGUCUGCCACCACACUGGUAUGUGAAGGAAAACAAGUCAGAUUUAAAGAUUAUAGGUCAAGUACAGAAGUUAAACCAACAAAUUGAAUCAUCAAACAUUACAAAAGAAACAGCAUCCAAAAUCAUUAUCACUUCUAACAUGUAUGCAGUUCAGAUCCAGCCAAGUUACAUGACAACCUUUUUCUCUUUUUAAAUAAUGACAUAUCAAGUACUUGACAUUUGUUUAAUAACUUGUUACAACUCUUAUGCAUUAAGAUUUUUAGUAAUUCAAAACACUAUCAUAAUUUUUAGGAUUAGGAUAUUGAAUGGCAUAUUGCAGCAUUUUUCUAUGAGAGGACAAAAUGGAAGUGAUGAACCAAUCACAGGCCAGCAAAGAACAUUUAAAAAUAUUUAACAUCAAGUUAAAUAAUGGGUAGAAUAAGGCUUAAUCAAAGAACCACAAAAACAGUUGAAGAAUGGGUAGUGUGUUAGAAGUCAAGCAAGUUAUAGCAUCAUUUUGAACACCCUAAACUUUGUAAUCAAACUAAUGCCACAUUACUCUCAAAUUUUAUUUCAGAAUAACACAAGUAGCAUAAACUAUUUGUGAACUUGCUCACAGAGUUUAUGAAUUGAUCGGGAUAUGCAGGAAGGAUCUGAGUGAUUCAAUGUUCAGAGUGGCUACUAAGAAUACCAAAUGUGACUUGCCCAAGUCCCAUAUUGACAUAUUAUGAUGUGGCUAGAGGUGUUGUCAGUCCAUAUGUAGGAAGGGUCCUAUAUUUCUCAGUAGAUUAAAACUGAACAAGGACUGCUACCAAAGGAUGCAAUUGGUUCUCAAAAAAAAUUCAAUAAACAGCCAUUUGAGAAUUUAACAAUGUGCACCAGCUAAAGAAAAGUAGAAAGCUUGUGUGAAAUCCUUCUUCAAAGUUACCUCAAUCCUGCUUCAAAUUCUCAAGCAAUGGGGACUAGCUAUACAAAGUUUUUUAACUUCAUUUUUUAGAUUUGUAUCUUAUUUAUGUUCUAAUACAACCUCAAUAGGAAUCAAAAAAUAGUUUUAAGAUAAAUCAUUUGGUCAUUUGCAUUAGAUUUGCUUUAACCAUGAAUCUCAUUAUAUUUUAUGGCUGGAAGUAGAAAUUGACAUCAAAAUCAUUGAAGUCAUGAGAGGGAUGAACAUAAUCACACAAAUAGUUGGCAGUUUCUCUACAAUGAGAAAAAAAAAUUGAAAACAGAACCAUCGGGAAACAUUUAUCAUGUUAACAGUUUAAAGAAAUGUAGAGUAAUUGACACAUCUUAGUAAUUUGCGGCUCAACAGGAACCAUAGCAUAUCUCCAAGUUAAUAUUGAAAAAUGAUUAGAAACUUACAGAACAGUUGCACUAUGCUAUAUAUUAAAACUUAAUAUGAAACACAAAAUAUCUCCAUCAGAACCAUAACACAUGCUAAUAGCAGCCAUUGACAGAGAACCAAAUACAUGAAUGCUGAGGUAAGAGGCUACAACAAUGAUAGAAAUAAUAACCUAUCAGGACUUACUUGUGGAGGAGGAGAAAUAUGCCACACAAAAUAAAUGUGCUCGUAACAAGAAUCCACCCAAUGAUCACUAAACUGCAGCACAUUAAUCAUUCAAGUAUAUAUUUUUUUUAAGCAAAGAUGAACACAAAAAGAAAAAGGGAAGUGCCAUCAAAACUAAGUAAUUUAGGACGGAUUAUGAAUAGCAACAACUUGAGAACUUGAGAACUAAACAAAACUUACAAGUAUACAAGACACUGCAAUCCCAGAAUGGAAAAUACUGCAACCAGUAAUCAACAAAAAUAAUGUUAAAAGAAAACGAGAUAUAAGGAUGACAGGUCAGAUUUUUUAGACUUUGCUAAAUUAGAUACAAGAAAUAACAGACUUACAAAACCCAAGAAAUACCAAAAGAAGCAUGACAGCGGCAAGAACAAUAAGAGCCAACCUCCUGCAGCGCAUAAUAAAAGGUAAACUUGAUGAUCAGAAUAUCUUCCUACUGCAUUAUAAACCACUAAAAAAAUCAUAAGAGCUUGUAAUUACACAGCAUCCAAGAGAUCCUGUAUGUCUUUUGAGUUCUUUUGAGUCUUAGUGUCAAGAGUGGUAGCAGAAGCAUUAAUCUUUGUUUCAGCAUGAUCAAUGUUGGUCUGGACAUUUGCAGGCAGAAAACUAGAACCUAUUCCAAUUCGCUUAGCUGCAGAGAGAUAUUCUGACACAUUCUUAAGGUUUUCAGAAGUUGUUUCUGCCUGAUCCACCACAUAUCCCAGUGUGCUUGUUGUACUGCCAUGAAACUUUCCCUGACCAGUGUACAGAACAACACAUCCAAUUCUGCAAUCAUAAAUAUAGUGAGAGAGUCAACAGUGAUCAAGAAAAACAAGCAUCAAGACACAUCCAAUUCUGUCCAAUCCUUAUGCUUCUGUAACAGCUGUGUAUAUUGUAAGAAUAAUUCCAUAUAUCCAAAAUAAGAAAAUGCUGAUGUCAUAUAUCAAAUAUGAGUUGUCCUGAUAACAAAAUUCCAUUCUUUUGCUUGGAAUCUAUUACUUGGUAUUCAGAACUCUAGAUUUCUAACCUCGAGUUCUUAGAAGUCUAGACUUCAAGCAUAUGUACAUGUAUUCCUUUGUGCCCCAGUUGUUCAUUUAUUGGCAUUCCCUCUAUUUACUUCUCCACAUGCAAUGAAUGGAAAGGGGGUGCAGAUGAGGGAAUGCUAGUUUUUUAUGUACAUAGAUAUAGAUACAUAUUUUCUGGCUCAUUGUUUAAAAGCUUCAGAUUCGGAGCAAAAGGUAGUCAAUCAACGUUAGACAAUGCACAAGCAUAAGCAAAAGAAAUAGAUGUUUUGGGUGGGUGCAGAGAGAGAAAGCAGAGAGAAUUACAUGGCAGCAAUGGUGAAAAGUAUGAGCAAAAUAAGAGAGAGUGCAUAGGCCGUUCGAGAAUAGCCAUAAGGUUCUCGUCUACAACAGCAAUAACAGAGACAGAUGAGGGACAAGCAUAGCCCAAAGAGCACAAACCAGAUUCCACCAAGGACGAAAAAGGGAACUGCAGUGUAACUCACAGACUGCAUUCAAACAUUACCCAGAAUGAAAAUGAGACGAUAAUAAUAAUAUUUAUAACAAUGAUGAUAACAGCAGCAGCAGCAACAAAAAUUAAAUUGACCAAGACAAGCAGCACAAUAAGUUAAACAAUGAUAAGAAAGCCCAAACAGAGCCUAAGAAAGUCCAAUACCCAGGGUCAUGAAUUGAAAUUCUUACAGACUAUUAAAACUAAUCACAUUAUCACAUGAGAAAAGCAAUUUUGAAGAUAAAAGAAUUUGUUAAUGGAUUAUAGGACCUCAUACUUCACCACAAAGAUUUACAAUAUGUUUAUAAGGGAGGAAUUGGAGGGAAAAAAAGGGAAGCAAAUUAGAAGUUGGAACCAGCAAACUCCCAUAUCUGGAACCAACAGAUCUGUAAGGAAAGGAAUUAAGAAAGGGUUUAAAGAGAUUAGAAUAAAUAUAUUCUAUCAAAAAGCUGGUGAAUUUGGACAAGAAUGCAUUUUCACAUUUAAAAAUUCGUUUCUACGUGCCUAUUUUCCACAUUUCUGCUUUUACUUUAAUACCAGAACGGAAAGGCUAUGUCAAUGUUCAACAAGGUAAAAUGUGAGAGAGAAAAGAAAAGAAAAAAUAUUUUAUUUUCUUUAAAAAAAAUGCAUAAGUUACUAUCUAACUCCAAUAAUAGUAUAUUUUCUUUCCUCUUUUUCAUACUAAAGCCAGAGAAAAUCUUUUUCCUCAUUUUUUUUUCUUUCGUUGGUGAUUUCCUGGACAAACAUAGCGAUAAAUUUCCGUAUAUUAAUUCAUAUUCCUGAAGAAAUUAAGCAAAACGGAUGACAAAAUACGUUAUAUUCAUUACAGAAAACUACAACCCAGUACCAAAAAUGCAAAACCCAGGUGAAACAACGGGUAAAAGAUAUUUACAAAAAGAUAAAAUAAAAAAAGAAGAAGAGAGAGAGAAAGAGAGAAGAAUAACCAGAUAAGGAAAAUCAACCAAAGGUUUAGAAAAACUUACAGCCCAGUAAUGGCCAUUACUGAUAUUCCACCCACCAGUGUAGUAGCUGAACCCAUCGGAAGGGUCUUUCCUGUGAGUUCUUUUGGCAGCCAGUAUCAGAGACGAGUUGUCCCCGCUCCCUUCUGCAAGAGACCUCCUUGUCUUCCAUGGAACCAACCCACCAUUUUCCCGCCCUCCAAACACCUCUACACCACCCAAAAAAACCCCCAAAAAUCACCCAAAAAAUAAAAAAUUCAGAAAACCUAGUUCCAGAACGAAAAAAAAAAGAAAAAAAACUUGCGUUCAGAAAAAGCAGGGAAAAAUAAAAGAAAAGAAAUACCUUGAACACGUAAAGGCUGGGGAUGGUGCAGUUGAGAACUUCCAUGGGAGAAUGUGAAGGAAGUAGAAGCUAUGAAUAUACAAAAGGGAAGAAGAAGAAGAAGAAAAGCAGAGUAAGAUCUCAGAUAUAGCAUGAUGCUUAUCUCUCGCUCUGAUACAGCAGGCUCCCCUCCGGUCUGCUUUGAGAGAGAAGAAGAGGAGAUUUAUUACUAUUUUACGAAGCUGAGAUCCUCGGCUUUUCGUCUUUUGCGCUUAUCUCAACCCAUUACCAUUUCGGCCUCUAUACUUUGUCGGUAUUCCAUCUUUUUUAAAUGACAAAAACACCCCUCUCUCUCUCUCUACCACAAAUUAAUCCACUAAUUAAGUUAACUAAUUCCCCCUCCCUAAACUCUUUAGUGAAGUUACGACUCCGAUUCCAAGGUCUGCAACACGGCAUUACUGACUUCGAAAUUACAAAACUACCCUUUCGGCAAAUACCAAAUUAUAUCCUCAAUAAUGCUUUGGAAAUUAACAAAAUAUUUUUAAAAAAUAACAAUAAUUGUAACAAUAUCUUUUAGCAGUCCUUCCGAAGGCUUCAAGCUGAAGAAGGGCUGUUUGGGUUUCAAAUUACGUCCUUGUCCUCCUACCGAACGACAACCCAAGAAUGGAUUUGGUUUUGGGCCAUCAUGGUCAUGUUCGAUACUGUUUUUAUAUUUUAAUUUAUUUUUAUUUUUCUUGUGAUUUUAUUUACUUAAUUUCACGUUCCUCCACGUUUUAUUAUUAUCAUCAUUGUGACGUGGCAAUAAUUGUACGCCUUGUCACGUCAGUUUCCUUUUGACCAUAGAGUGUGGCACAAACGCACAAUUAUCAACCAAGACCAAAAGUGGAAAAUUAGGUGAAAAUAAUGCCUUAAAUUUUGAUUUAUUUAUUUAUUUUUAAUCAGAAAAGGCCCCCAAAAAAAAUAUAAAAAAAUUGUAUAGUAUUUACAGGUGUCACCUUGGGUGGACGUAAUAAUUCACUAAUUCCAAACCAUUUUAGAAUUCCCAGUGACAGCUUGACAACUACACAAGGAUUGUUUAGACCUUCCACAUAAAGCAGUAAUUUCCUUUUUGAAUCUGAAUCAUUUUGUUGCGGGGCAUUUUGGUCCAUACAGUUCUGGAUAUGGGGUUCUGGGGGUGAGAUUUUUUUGAGGAAGCAUGAUGAUGACGUGUAAUGAAGCUGUCCCAAGACAAAUUUCAAAAAAAAAAAAUUCUAUUUUUAAGAUAUUUUUAUAUGUCAAAAUUUUAAUCCUCCAUGAUUGCAUUCUUAUACAAUUAUAUUAAAUAAUUUAUUUGGAAUUUAAAAAAAAACUGAAAAAUUAAAAUAAAAAAUAAGUGAUUUUUUAGAAAUAGAGCUCAUCUUUUAAAAAUUAUCAUUUGCAUGUAAAAAGAUAAAUUUGUUUUUAAAAAAGGAUUAGUUUGAAUUUAAAAAAAAAUGAAUUUAUUUUUUAAAAUAUGAGUUUAAUAUAAAAAUGAAAUAAUUUUUCCAGAAAAUAAAUUCAAUAUGAAAAAAUAAUUCAUAUUUUAAUAUAACAACUAAAUUCGUUUAUUUUUGUAGUUAUUUUAUAUAUAAUUAUUUUUGAAAAAUAAUAUUUAAAAAAAAUCUCACUUUAGACAUUUCAACUUUAAAUUUUAAUAAUAAGCAAAUUGAAUUAGAAAUUUGUGUGAUUAACGUUUUUUUUUAAGACAACACUUAAGCUCUAUUUGAUAAUUAUUUUCUCUAAUAUUUAUAGAAUAAAAGUCUUUUAAUAAUUUUAAAAUAUUUUUAACUUGUUUUUAAUAUUUUAAAAUAUAUUUAAAUUUUUUUAUAUCUAUUAUUUUAUUUUUAAUUAUUUUACAUGUAAAACAGUUCUAGGCAAACAUGCCCUUAAAUAAUAGCCUCUUCCUAUGAGGCAGCCCAAGUUCCAAUACUUUAAGUUCACGCCUACAUUUGUAAACUUAAAAGCCACACUCAAAAAGUUGUCACGGUUUAAGCAAGAGAGAGAAGGCCCAGAAGGGAGAGGAGGAAAUUUGGGGUGGAGGAUUUGUGUGAAAACGUGAGAAUGUGUCGUUUUGUAAUUGAAAGUGUCAGCCACCUGUCAAUUUUUUACAAUUCUGACAAACCAUCGUGUCCGCCUCCCCAUGUUCCUGCUCUGUGGUGUCUCCGCGUGCCUUUCUCGCUCCUUUGGAUCUACGUAAACUAUUCCCAUAGACCCAUCAAAUUAUACCAUACUUUUUAUAUAUUCAAACUAUAUCUUUUUUUUUUUUUUUUCAUACCAUGGGGCGUAAUCUUAAUCGAAGAGACGCCAAAUGGCUGGAAAAAGCUUAGGUCCGGUACACAAGGUUGCUAAUCCAACAUUAGUCUACAAAAUGAUUACUUAAUUAUUAGGGAUGACCGUGACCAUGAACCUGUCCUUGUGUACAGCUGGCAAAUUUUUAUAAACAAACCCUCGAAACCUCCCUCUAUACUUCACACAGGUUCCAAACUAUAAUUUGAAUUGCGCCGUCACUGGUUUUACAUUCGUAGACAUCUGCCAACUCACUUUUAUAAUCUCCUUGCCUUUCUUUAAUCACCUUUACCUGCUUCUAUUUUAAUUCAUAAUCAGACUUUAUUUUUAUUUUUAUUUUUUUUUUUAAAUGAGUAUUUAGAGGAUGAGAUAACUGGUGGUUGAGGUGGAGAGGAGGCAUUGGCAUGUGGGUGACAACGUGGCAUUGUAAUGGUGUUGAGAUUUGAAAAUGACUAACUAAUAGGACAAUGGGAGUCAGAAGUGAGCGGACUGCAAGGGGGUCCAAAUUCUGAAAAGCAGAGCUCUUACAAACUGCAUAGGAAAUAGUCCCUCUUUUGACUACUCCGAAAGAAGUUGCUCCCACCCAUAUCACAGCUGUUCAUUCUCUUAUUUUAAAAAUUAAAACCCAAAAAUAAAUAAAUAAAUAAAUUCAAGAUGCUGCAUUUGCCCACAAAUACUCAAUGAUGUGCAAUCAUGUCUUCACGUGCAUUGAUCCUGUCUCCUAUGAUUGUUUUUUUUUUUUCUCUUAUUUUUCAAAAUUAGUGUUGGAGCAAUUUAUUAAAAAUUAUAUUUUAAGAUUUAAUAUUAUUAACCAUAAAUAACAGAAAAAUAAACAAAAUAUAAUAUUUUUAAGAUGGUUUAACAAUCUACCACUAGAAGAAAUAAAAGAAAUUAUAAUAAUGAAACUCUUAAAAAAAACAUUAUCAAUUAAGACUACAUUAUUUCAAAAAUGAAAUUCUAAAUAUAAAAGAGUUAAACGAUCCCAUGAGCUGAUGGGACAACUUAAUCCCCGAUAUUUUAAGUAAAGUAUAAUAAAAUUGAAUCAAGCUUUUUGGAGUAAGUGGUGAUUUAAUUUUUCAAGGAGAAUAUGGAGUGGUUAGCUUAAUUCCCGAAAGGAGAAAGUAUAGAAUUAGAAUAGGAUGCUUAGUAAAGACUAAAAACCAAAAAGAAGAAAGAAAAAAGGAAAAAGAAAAAAAAAGCAUACGAUGGGGCCUACAAUUGGGAAAAGAUGCCCAAUUUAAAAGACAUUAGGCCCCAACUUUGGUAAAAAUAUUGAAUGUGAUAUUGAUUAGGGUCCAAAGGUUUGGUUCCAAGUGCCUCAUCAAAGAUGCAAGAUGAUAUCUGAGAUUAUGAUAUGUGGGCUUAAGUUUUGGUUCCAACCCAAGUUUGAAAAUGAUGGACAUACACUUUACCUACAACUAAAAGGAUGUUUGAAACUUACAGGCGCGUCUGAGUCGGUGCAUAACUCAAAUUUCAUUUUAUUUUUGAUAAAUAAUUGGUAGAAAAUAUAACAAUUUUAGAACCCAUUUUUUAAAGGGAUAAUUUCAAUUCAAAUACUUAAUUAAAAAAAUAUUUAAAAUUAAAAUAAUUUCAAAAAUUCUUAUCCAUGAAAAAGAGGGGGUGGGUUGGUUUCUUUUCUUGAGCUAAUGAUUUGAAUGUGACAAUGAACUGGGGGAGCCCUUCAAUCUUGUUGCUUCUUCAACGGCUAAUUAUAAGGGCAAGAGACGCGCAUCAAAGCUAUUCAAAUCACUAAUAAAAACUUGUCAUAAAUUGGGGCCCCUGCCGUUGAAUAUCUUGAGUGCAUCAACAAUUUGCUUCAUUUUUUCAACCCCAGAUUUUGGCCCCUGAUCACAAAUCUUCAAGGAAGAGUAAAGACAAUGACAGUUUUUGGCUCUAAUGGACCUCUAAUCUUUACCCGUUAUCCUCAUAAUCAGUGGGCGAUGACUUUAAUUUUUGAGCUCAAAUUAAACUCUCUCUUUGAGUCCCAACUGUGAGUGAAAGGGUCGAAAAUUCAUCCAUUUAUGCAUGUUAAACUCGUUACAUAUUUAUGAGGCCAGUCCAGGAGCCCAGUAUUUUGGGCUUAAAACUGUUUAAAUUAAGCCCAUGAGAUCGCAAAAUUGUUGAUUGAAUUAUUGGGCUCAAGUUUGCUGGUUGGGCCUUAAAUUUUAUUUUCUUGGGUUCUUAACUAGGAUAACCUGGCCCAAUAUCAAGUUUUUCAUUUUCCUUGUAACAUGUUUUUUACCUUUAGUUUAAAUAUAGUAAAAAAUAGAAGAAUAUGCAAACGACACCUUAUUAGUGAAGUUUUCAACUCAUAUCAAACAAGAAAUUUGAUAAAAAUAUUUACCCAACUGUUUUUUUUUUUUUCCUUUAAAUUUUUUUUUCCACAGCCAUGACAUGACAGAAAGAAUCAUACGAUCAUGACUUACAAGUCAACAUUUCGUUCAUCAUUUUCUUUAAUGUAUUCUUGAUUAUCUCCUAAAUUUUAGGUUUGAUUGGCUUUUUUUUUUUUUUUUUCAAAAUAUCCCCAUAAGGUCACGUGUAAUUAAUAAAUAAAAUCAAAUACAAAAAUCACGAAUUUGGGUGAAUUUCAGAAUAUGAAAUCUGCCACGUCAUUAAUUCUAAUGCAUCAGAAUCAUGUCCUCAUCUCAUCAUUAACAAGCUUUGGAAACCCAAAUUAAAUGAGGAGGGAUGAAAUGAUGAAGAAAUUGCUUCACAGACUCGCCUGCUUUACAAACAUCAUGAUGCCCUUUUCCCAUUUCAUUAAGUCCAGUUGUCAGUGUUAACUUGUUAAGCGUGGUAGGUUUUGACUGGUCAAAAAUUAUUUUGCUAUAAGAUCACUGAAUGAAGGUGGUGUCUCUUACGGUCAAAGUCAAAGGAAACCCCUCCUUCCUUCCAAGAUUUUUACUUCUUUUGGGACCUCCAGGCUCCACCAUGUGAGGGGUGACAAAGAUUACAGUGUUUAAUAAUCCUUUUUUUUUCCCAUGGAGCUUCCAUGCCUUUCUUCAUUAUAUUCUUAUGUGCAGAAGGUUACUUCAUCGUCUGCAAAAUUCAAAAUUUGCGGUUCAAUUAGGUUUAUAAUAUAUGUUUUUCAAAUGACUUGUUUGAUUUAAUGUUUAGAAAAUCGAUUCUGGGAAGAUAGAGAUGCAUUGAGAAGUUCAUGGGAAUCAAGUGGAAGGCAUGAAGGGAGGGAGAUGGAGGCCGUCCAAGAUGAUCAUGACUUAAAUUAAUAUCAUUAUGAUAUGAAAACCUUAGAAAAAUGUACAAAACCAUAACUUGGAAUUGGGAAUCACGUGAUGCCAUUAAGACAAAACUCCCGACCAACUGAAUAAUUAACUUAAAACCCUGAAGAGAACCUUAGAGAAAGAGAGCUGUUGAAGAAGCUAGGGUCAGUCAAAAUCUCAACAAAAAAAAAAAAAAAAACUCAAGUAGUAGAAGCUUGUUUUUUUUUUCUUUCAAUUUUUGUUCUCCUUGAUUAAUUUAUUUUCUUUGGCUAACACAUAGGAGAUCUAUGAGGAAUGCCUUUUCUUCUACUCAUGCUUGUAGCCAUGUCCUCUUCUGAAACCUUACUAGCUGAUCUUCCACACACAUACAGUCCACUCCGCUUCUUUCGGACUAUCUCAGUGCACAUCAUGCUCAUGUUCUCCGAACCGGAAGAGCCCGAAGACGAGCUCAUUGGCUCAUCGCAGUCCACGAUCGUCGAGUGGGGUGUCUCAUUGGUCAUCUCAUCCUCUCCCAUGUCUGGAGGGACCAAGAAGUCUGGACUGAGUUGUAGAGAGUGGCAUGUCCUCAAGUAUGGGGAGAGGUCCUUGUUGUGUUUCAGCAAAAAGUCCACCUGAUAAUUAAGAUCAUGAAGAAAAGAUCAAAAUCUCGUCAUCAUCAACAGGCCUUUUCUCCCCCCUUCUGUAUUAUGAUAUGUAGAAAUACAAUAUCAUGGACCAAAAUUCAAGUUGACUGAAUGCAAUAAUUCGACAAUUGAAUUCAAUUAUGAAAGGAAGUGCAGUUAUAUUUGGAGGUUCUUUCAAAUGAAAUGAUUAUCAAACUACAAAGAAAUUAUGAAGAGGAUGCUACCUUGCAGCCAAGAGAGCAGUGGAUAUAAGGUUCUUGGAGGCUCCUGUCACAGGAAGUACAAUAGUUUCCAGACCCUUUAAACUGCCUAUUCUGAGGUCGUUUCUUGAUGAACACCACUUUUGCGCUAUUAAUAGUAUAGGCCUAAAUGAAAUUUCAGCUAUGUCAGAAGGAUAUAUAUUAAAGACAACAAGUGUCAAGAUGCAAAGAGAGAAUUCAGAAUAUGGAAUUCUCCAGGUUGCACCAACCUGAACAUUGGAGCAGUCUAUGAGCUUCUCGAGGUCUUCCAAUCUGACAACAUCAUGAUACACAUAACGACGAACCUGAACAAGCCUAUGGAAGCGAUGGAACUGCAAGCAAUGAGGGCAAAUACUGGUGCAACAAUCCAAACAAAGGAUAUUCUUCUCAUUCUUCUUUGCAGUUUCAUGAAUUGAGCAGCUCACGAAGAAUUUCUGGGUGUAGAGGGCUUCCAACCAUGCUGGUUUCUGAAUUCCCUAUAAACCAUUACAGAACAACCCAUGAAUCAUCUGUACUGGAAAGCCAAUAAAAAUUGAGUAGAAAGAGGGAGAGCAUACCAUGAUCAUAUCAACACAAGAAAGAAAGACUGUCACUCCUUUGAGUUGUUAUUGAGAAAGUGAUGCAGAAGAGAGCAAUAGAGAGGGAGUAGGGUAUGGAGAUAAGAGUAUUUAUGGAGGGUCACAAGAGAGGUAAGGGUAUAUAUUUAUUCAUUGAAAGAUACACGGCAUUUUGUCAAGAAGUAGGGCUUGGAGAGAGAGGGAGAGAGAGGGUGAGAGAGAGAAAGCAUUAAAGAAAGGGAGUAGGAUAUGAAGAGAACGUGGGCGCUGUUUCCGUGUCUCCCAUACUCUACAAUCCCUUUAAACAAUUCUUCUAAUCUCCUUGGCUCAAGAGCUGUUAACCCUAAACCAACUAAGCUCUCCUUGGAGGAGCUGCCCUUAAUUGUAAAAAUUUCCUCUCCACAGUUAUUUUUUUCAUUUGAUUCCCAUCUCUUAGUUGGUGAAAUGUGGUGGAGCUGGCCUCUUUGUCUUGAACUUUGAGAUACUUCAAUUAAUUUUUAUGUUUGUAUACUCCCUUGUAUUCGCUUCAAGUGGUGACAGCUUCAUACAGCUCUCUUGUUCAUGCAACAGUCAUGGGUACACAAUGAUCAUCUCCAUUGGAGACAUUUUUGAGCUCUCAACUAUUGGCAGUAUCUACUAAACUUGACUCCAAAUACCAUGAGUACUUUUCGCUACUUCCCUUUUUGGACUUUCUUCACUACUCAUUAUAUAUGCCUCCUCUAAGUAUAGUUGAUAAAGCUUGGGGUAUUGCCAGUGGUUUAUGUAAUUUUCUCAGAAAAUCUUGAAUUGAUGUUUUCCAUUGAGCACCCUUUCCUUUACUGGUAAUUUGGUCCAACUCCUAAGUCCUAACUAAAGUAACCAAAAUUUAGUGCAUAUGGGAGAAUGGGGCAAUUUUUUUAAAGAAGUUUCUAAGGGGUCCAAAGCUAUAGCUAGGCAAGCCUAUAGAACACAUGUCUAGCUAUAUAGCUAGUAUAAAAAGAAGAUCAAUAUAUUAUUAAGAAGACGAAAGUUUGUGCCUGCAAAGGGUUGGCGACCGACCUAAGUUAUGACCCAAUUUUCAGUCUUCACAUUGACAAUUUCAAUAAAAAAAAGGAAAAAAUCUUACUAGUACAAUUCCUAUUAAUCAUAUAAAUGUGCACGCCCUUGUGAGUUUGCUGGGAAAGCUUUUGAUAUAUGUUCCCAACUCAAGAAAUGAAGUUUGAUAGAGGAUUUGCUUACAAUGUUAUGCCGGUUGACAGCUGCAACUGGGUUAGAAUUGGGUCACGGACACAAAUCUCCCAAGGAGUUAAACUCAUCUAAUUAAUUAAUCCAUUAAUCUUUGUUGAUUUCCUAAGUCAAAUAAACGAUGACCCAAAGCUAACUAAAAGUGCCAUUCACAUUUAGUUACACCAUGCAUUACCACAUUCAAAUGAUCAUCCUUUAUUCUAAUUAGUGGAAAAGUUAAUUAGUUAGGCAGGAGUACUACUAGGGGGCAGCUAGGAUAUUGAAAUCUCCUACAUACCAUCAUAUUCAGCCCACUUUGCCCGACGUUCCUUCAUUUACGAUUUGUUUGGCACUUUUUCUUCACCAUAAGAUGUCGGGUUUUGACAAUAUAUGUCUGCGUUGAAUCUGGUCAAUAAUAAGUUGGCAAUUAUCAUCAUUUGAUCGAUAAAGCAACAGGACAUGUCCGAGGAGACCUGGUUUUGGGGGAAUGAAACAUGGCAACAUUCAACCAACUACUCCACUAAUGAAAAACUGUGCUUAAAUUAUGCAGUUUUGCUGCAAAUAUCGACAGACAAAAACAACUCAUUCAGCACUACCAUACCCUCAAAAACUAUUCCCAUCAUUAAUAAGCCUAUGAGUGCUAAUUUUGAGGAGGCCUUGCCUGUUUGCAUCUCUAAGCUUUAACCAAGAGUUAAUCUUGGGUUUUGAAUGCUAUGAAAUUAAUUAUCAUACACAGGUUAUAUUAUUAAUAAUAUUCCCUCGAUACCCUUCACUCCUCCAUUCAGGCUGCAGCUUGUUUGCUUCAUCCAGUCACCAGCCAGACCAUGUUACUGCACUUUAAGUUAUGCUAGCUAGCUAGCUAGCUCUAUAUACCUUCAGGAAUCAGCUCCAUCAGUUAAGCAAAUGACAAGUAGUAUGAAACUUAGUAGAGUAAUAUUCAAUCCAUCAGAUGAUUACAUAGCAAUUAGGCCAAAAAAGGUGUUCUUACAGCCCCAACAAUGCCCUUGAUUUUAAUAGUAAGAAUCUUUAGUAGCUUCAGAUUGAUUUGUAUGAUUCUAUGGCUUUAAUCAACUGCAACAGGAAAUCAACUGCAAUGGAGUUUGCAUGAAUUUCAUGUACUACUCUUCACGAUUUUCCUCAAUCGAUAUGCUGUUGCUUCAAUCCCAGAUGAAGAAGAAAAUGUGAGUUCAUUUGCAAAAGGUAAAAUCACAUGAUAAAAGAAACCAGCAGGUACGAAUGCAUGCUUUGUUCAUAUCCUAAACUGAUGUGUAAAAUCUUGUUCACUGUCAAAAAGAAGGGAAAAGAGAAGUAGGAAAAAAAAGGGCAUACGAGAACAAAUACUUUUGCUGCCAUGCACAUUGCACUAAACUCCUCAAAAGUUUCCCAACCAAACACAGCAGUUCUGGGAAAAAAACUCAAAAAGAAAGGAAGAAAAAAAAAAAAAAAAACCUAAUUAAUUGUUUGCUUAGUUCCUAAGUACCUCUCAUUAAUUUAGUGCCUAAAUUCUAACAUAAUCAAGUAAAUUUUUCUUAUUAUUAAUUUAUGAUAUUCAAAGGCAAGAAUCACUGUGUAAAAAUCAUUGAAAUGAUGAACAAGGAUCCGCUCCUUUAAAGAACGGAAUGAAGUACGUACGCUCGAUUUCCUUUCCACCGGCCCUUCAGAAGAUGGACAUAACUUGGAUCAUAAACAUGAAUGAUAGUGAGACUUUUCUCCUACCCUCAUCCACAAGUUAUACCCACCCUGCUUCCCAUUACAUGAUAGCAAUGGCGUGCCACAGGAACUUCUGUUGGGAUAUUUUAAUUCAAAAAAAAAAAAACCUUGUAAUUUCGUAAAAAAAUAUAGCUUGGCCUUGGCCUUAUAAGCUACCCAAGAGUCCUCAUCUCAGUCACUCGUGUUCUUUUUUGAAAUUUUUUCUUUAAAAUAGAAAUAUUAAUUUUUAGUUUACAAGCCAAUUAAUUAAGUGUAUCAUAUUUGGUAAUCCAGGGGCUUCUAUUAUACCAAGCUCUUACAAGAGAAAUCAAAUUCAAAUGUUGGGUUAUCGAAAACCGAAACGGUGCACGUGUGCAAGUAAUAUAAUAUCUGAAAAAGAUGGGGGGAAGACAGAAUUAUAGAAAGAAAUCAAAGAAAAGGGUAGGGGCGAGGGCACGUGAUAAAGAGGGUCCCAUGAAGGGAAAAGUAGUAUUAUAAGAAUGAAGGUCACGUGGAAGGGAUCCAAUGGCCCUGACAAAUGACAUUUACAAAAAAUUUAUUCCCGUUGCCACAUCCAAAGUGGUUGGGCCCGUGGUCAACGGUCAAAGGGCCCAUUCACUGCAGGAGAGGGCAGGGCAGGGCAGGGAAGGGAAAGAACAAACAGAGGAUGGGAAUCAUGGGAUCAGCGUGUGAGCCGCACGAGGGGGGCGAGAGCCAAAGGGGCACUCCCCACUCCCACUCCCCCACGUGCCCUCAUCCCUCCCUUGUAUGCCCUUAUUUUUAAGGCCAUGGGUCACGUGAAGGCGCCCUUUCCUCAGGCCCUUUUCACAUAUCACAACCCACUAAUUCAAAUUAUUAUUAUAUUUUUUAUCCCAUCCAGGCAAAUUAUUCAAACAAAAUUCAUAUGGUACAACCCCAUUUCGAUAAUAUAAUUAUAAUAAUUUUAAAAAAUAAAUAAAUUCAAAUAUAAACAUUUUUAAAUUAAUUAAAAUAAAUUAUCAAUUCUCACUAAUAACAUAACAUUUUCAAGCCUUCUGUGCGGAAAACAUGAUGAAUGAUUGCUGAAUUGUGCUUGUGUAGUUGAUAAGGGCGCAUGAUCUGCACAGGUCUUCAAUCUCCUUCUCCGUCAGAUAGUUGGAGGUUUGAAGAAUAGACUGUAACAAAGAAAUUAAUUAGCAUUUGAGAAUGUGUUUGAUCGUAUUCUUAUUCUAAAUGCUUUUAAUGAAAAUAUUUUCUUUAAAAAUGUAUUUAGGUGAAUCACCCGGAAGUACUAUAAGUGAUUUUUCAAUUUUUUCGAAGUGUUUUUUAAAUUUUGUCAAAUUUCUAAAAGUACUACUAAAUUGAUUCUAAACUGAACUCAUCCGCCAAAACCACAGGAGUUCACCAAAAUUUUGGAUGUUUUUCUCUUCAUUGCGGGAAACUACAAACAAUAUUUAGUUUGGAACCCACGUUUACUAUUAUUGGGUCCUGGCCAACUAAUUGAACUCUGAACUAGGGCACUAGGGUUAGAAUCAAACUAGCCCAAAUCUUCAUGGCCUUGAUCAACAAGCACACAUUUGUUGCUUAUGGAGAAUAUCCUAAAACAUAAGCACGAACAGCUGCAGAAAGAAUGAACAAGAAUGAACAUUACCUGUCUGAAAGGCCUUAAUAUCGCAGGAAUGGAGGAAUUGGUAUAAAUGGGUCGUAGAAAAGUGGUUCCUACAAAGAUACCUCCACUUCGUAAUAUACGAGUGAUUUCAGCAACCUGAGAAAAAUCAAAUGAUAUGAUCACUAGUUGCAUGGUGACAUUAGAUGCAGAUACACACCCAAUUGAGUGGCAUAAAUAAACGGUAGCUAGUUAUCAAAAUUUCACAGUUCAGGACAGGAUCACAUCCACCACAAACAAAAGAGAGCCACAUUGAGAGGGACACAAACCAAACAAGAAACUGAGUCCAUCAUAUUUCCAAAUUUUUGCAGACCACAUAAAAAGAAAUGCAUCAGAGUGAAUCAACCUAAGUCUGAUAGGUGGGACCUCUAAAUUGACCUCUGAAAGCCUUGCAGAUGAUCGCAUCAAUAUGCACUUACUAGAACACAGCCGUAGAUUCUGAAUGAACCAAGGGUAUGGGGGGCAAAUGACUAGAGCAGACUUUAUCAAACCACAUUCAUUACAAAUAUGCUGAAAAUUUUCAUAUAUUGUGGAAUCUCCUGCUUAUAGCACAUUUCUCAUGGUCGUACUAGAUUGAUUCUACCAAAAUCAAACUGGAAGCCAUAAACAAGUCAACUAUAUAAAACUCCUAUAACAUUAUCAUCUGACAUUUAGAUAGUUAAAAAUAUGCUUCAAUCUCCAUGCUCUGAUAUUUACAGUCCUCAUAAGAGUGAUAGCAUUCUCUCAGAUCUCACAUGUCUAGUACCAGGAAAUAUAUUUACUACAUUGAAAGAUAGGUUUUUAUUAAUAUAUUUAUCUAUUUUUAUUUUUAUUUUUUAUAAUGUUCAGAUGGGUCAAGGAACAGUUCGAUACAUGUUAACCCAUUUGAAGAUCACAAUAGGUUAGUUGGUUAACGUGUCUCUGAUGAACAAUAUUUAUCUCCAGUUUGAAGCCUUCUACAAGCAAAAGACAUGGCACUGGCAAAGAGCAGCAACAAAGCAAGAUCCAUGCAGCCAAUAAAAAAUAGAUGGUAUGGUAUCAUGUCAAUGAGAAUCAUGCCAUAUAUGCUCACUAUUAGGUAAGGGUUGUUUAUUUGUGGAUUUCAAGCUUAAGGUCAAAGAAUAUUCAAUGAAGGUCCUCCAACUUGCAAAACUGAAUUAAAGAAAAGGGAGGAAAGAACUAGUCCUGCUUCAGAGUAUAAUAAAAAAUCCCUUCUAUUAUACCAUUUUAUAGAGUCAUUUAAAUGCUACAAAAGCAUACUUCAAAUACCGUAAAAUAUAAAAAUAACUGAUUUAAUUUCCAUGGGGUAACCAACCACCCUUUUCUAGAACUUGCUAAAUAGAAACUGGAGAAGAAACAGCACUUACUGCAUUAGAAGGUGAUGGCCAACAAUGCAAAGCUGCACCGGCAUGAACAGCAUCAACUGAACCUGAUGAAAAGGGAAGCCUAGAAAUAUCUGCUCUAACAAGAGCAAGAUUACUGCACAUUCUUCAGUGAAACAUAGAUCAGGAACGUCUCUCUUUCUUAUAAUGGAUUGAUAGCCCUAAAGGAAGUUUAAAAAGAUACUGAUAAAAGGUAGCAGAUCUGAUUGAAUUAUCUGACAGGAAGAGAAACUUACGUCGUUAAACUAGGGUUAUCUUUCUUAAUGAAAUCAUAACAUUGAUGAAGCAUAUUUUCGGAAAAAUCAAGUGCAACAACUCCAGAAUAGGUCCCAGAUUCUGCAAAUUUUCGAGAAAACAAGCCACUCCCACAGCUGACAUCUACCAGAAGCCCACCUGCUGCAGGUUUAAAGUACUCUUGAGCCAUUUUGAACUGCACAAUGUCAACUUUUAUGUGAUUAGUGCCUGAAGCAUAACCAGUAGGUCUGGGACUUAAAGAGUUCCACACAAAUAGUAGAAAGAAAUGACUUCAGAUUAUUUCCAUUUUGUUAAUCACGAAUUCAUUUUUCAGGAUAAAGUAUCUUUCCAUGUUCAGAGAGACGACUCAAAAAAAAUAUAUGAUAACUUAUUUCCAUCACAAUUUAUUCUUUUAGGAUGAGUCCAUGAAGUUCUUCAACCAUUCUAGCCUCUAUAAUGAGAAGACAUACCAAAGAAGACUAACCUCCUCAUCAGGACCAGGGAAACCCCUCAGGUUAAAAUUUUGACGCCAGCCUCUUUCAUACAAAAAUGAAACAAGUGGACUCCUAAUAAAAGUGAAAGCACUGGAUGUAAGACACGUGCAUUUCCUCAAAUGAUUUGAUCUGGAAAUAAAUACUUACCGGAAUAACUCAGUUCUAACUGGUUGAGCUUCAUUGUAGGCCUUUGACCCAGCAGUAAUAGUGAGAUCCAGAUACAUGUCUUUGCUGGAAUAUGACUUAUUGCAAGUCUUACAUUUGAAACCAGACCUGUAGAUUGCUGGCCUGCAGAUUGUGUAGUUCUUAAGACAAGGCCUAGCCAGAUCAAAUUGAGAGCAGAAAAUAAUUCAAUCUCUACAGGCAUUCCAACUUACAAGUUAAGACCUGGAGGGCCUUUUCUGAUUAGCGGUUCAUAACACACUGGACAUGAAAACAAGUCAAAAUCCAUAUCAUUAUUCAGCUGAGGGCUUGAUUCCUGAAAAUUCAAAUCUUUACUCUCACUGAUUUGAUACUAGGAAGGAAGAGGAAAACUGAGAAGCAAAUAUAGAACAAAAAUGAUUCUAAAUCUGUUUCAUAUAACUUACUAGCUACAAAACUUGUUCAACACUCUGCAACACAGAUGGUUUGCAGCCUUGACCCACAAAACUAAAAUUAGAGUUAAGCAACAGAUGUUUUAAUCUUUUUAAAUACCUUAAACUUCAUAAUUGUGAUAGCCAAGAUCGAUCUUGGAUAGUAUCUGCCUAACACCUCUUUAUAAGUCUAUGUUACUAUGUAGCUUAUUCCUAUUUCCUACUGAAACAUCGACUGGCAGUGCUAUCAUGUGGAUGUACAACAUAAUUUGCAGUUCCUUAUACCAGCCAUGGGACAUCAGCCACACCAAUUCAGCUCUGUACAUCUACUCCAUAGAAUAUGAGAUUUUCAAAUGUUUCCAAGUAAGCCCAUAUAUCCAUCUUAGGGGUACAAAAUUUUGGCGAAGUUGUUUCGAUUGUUGCUGGUUACCAACUUAUCUCCAAUGUAGUACCAGCAAAUUUUGGUUGUGGUGCAUCCUAGUCAAUCAGGCGUCUAUUUCCCUACACAAUCUCUAUCCGUCAUUUUUCUCUAAGUUUAUGUUCCUUCAGUCUUUAAGGCAUUCUGAACCAACAAAAACCAAAAAGUCAUCCCCUGAGAGCAUUGAAGAUCAAAAUAUCACCAAAUAUUUGCAUAGGACAUGAUGGAGUCAUCCCCUGAGGGAAAAUGUUGUCAUGAAAAUGAAAUAAAUGGAGACAUAUUGAUUGUUCAAUUUGGUUGAUGAGAAUCAAAAUCAAAAUUUAACAUUCAACCAUGCCUUAUAUAAGGCCAUUUCUUUUCAUUUUGGAACCAAGAAGUCAAACCAUGAAAGAAAGAAACCUUUAUUUUCUUUUUUCUUUUUCUUUUUUUAUCUAAAUUUCUUAGCAACCAAACAAAAGCAAAGAAAUUUCCCCCCAAAAGAAUCUUCCCGUUAAAUCUGUUCAAAGAGUCGGAUGCUGAGUUUUCAAAUCCAAUCAACAGUACUAAAACUAAAAUUCAAACCAGAUAAGCAGUACAAAUAACAAGCACAUUUGCCACGUUGACUUUUAAAGAAGAAAAAUAAAAACCACUAUUUUGGUUAUAAGAGGAUAAGAAUCUAAUUUUCUUCCCUUAUCUUUGAACUUCUCAGCAACCAAACAAAGAAGAGGGGAAAAUACCGGUUCAAGAGCAACUGCUGAGCUGGCUCGAAAUCUCGAGGGGAAGGGCAGAGAGGAAAUUUGGGGGCGAGAAAUGAAUUGGGAUUUGUGAAGAAGGAAAGGGUACUUUGGAAAUAGGGGUUGGUGGAGAAAUGAAGCAGCCAUCGCCAUACUCAGACCCUCCUCUUCUUCGUUUUUGUGUUGUGUUUGGCUAGUGGAAUUGUUUCAGUCGAGAAUCUGAUGGAAACGGUAUGAUCUCGCAAAUUUGGCACCAUCUACUUUGUCCAUGGUGUGUGGCUUCGCCCAUGGACCCAUGAUUAAUGAACAAAUGAAGGUGCAUCUUUAAUUUUUUAUAAAUAUUAAAAUAUUAUUUCUUUAUUUUAAAAAAUAAAAACAUUUUUUGAUAAUCAUCACACAAUGAAAAGUAGAAAUAAACAUUUUUUUUAAUAAUUUUCAAUGGAUUUGGAGGAUCUUUCAAUAUUUAUAAACGGUAUAUUAAUUAUGUUAGAAGUUUAUUAAUUUAAAAUUUAAAUAGUAAUUAGCAAAUUUUUUUACUAUUUAAAAUUUAAUUUUUAAGUCCAUAUUUUUUAUGUAAAAAAAUUCCAUUUUAUAUAAAAAUUAUUAAUAUUUUAAAUUUUAAAAAUUAUUUUUAUAAAAUUAAAGAAAAAGCAAAAAUAGGUUCACAAAUAUGACUUUUCAAAUUAUUUUUAUAUUUUAAUUUGAAAAUAAAAAAUUCAGAAGUAACAAUAUAUGCAUCAUAUACACCACUGCUGAAAUGUCUUGAUACCGAAGUGUUAAUAAAAAUGAAAUUGAUGGACAAAGUUUCAAGCCUUCUGCGCAGAAAACAUGAUGAAUGAUCGCUGCACCUUGCUUCUGUAGUUGAUAAGCCCACAUGAUGUGCAUAAGUCUUCAAUCUCCUUCUCAGUCAGAUUGUUGUAGUUUUGCAGACUCCUUUCCCACUGGAAAUAACAAAGGUUUUUAAUACAUCAUUACAGGAGUUGCAAGUCACAAUCUUUAUAACAAGAGGGAAAGAACUGAAUGACAAGAAAGCAUAUUACCUGUCUGAAGGGUCUUAAUAUUGAAGUAAUGGAUGAGUUGCCAAAGCUGGGUCGAAGAAAGGUGGUUCCUACAAAGAUACCACCACUCCGCAGUAUACGAGUGAUUUCAGCAACCUGACAAAGUUGGUUAGUAUCAUCUUUUGCAGUUUGUAUGAAGAAACUACAUGCAGAAACAGAGCAAUUGGAAUGGCACAAAGAAACCUGGAAGAUUGUUUAAAUUUUACGGUUCAGCAGAGGUUUCAGAUGAGAAAGGCACAUUGUGAGGACUGAAAUGCAUAAAUGUUGGGGUGAAUGCUACAAUGGAUCCUACUAGCAAGACCAAAUAACAAACUAACUCUAUGCUAUCUCCAAAUUCUUGCCAACCAUAUAUAAAGGAAUGCAAUGGAGUCAAGCAGCCCAGGCAUUGUGUGGAGACCCUAGACCAACCUUAAGUUUAUUUCACACUUUAUUAUUGUUAUUUUGAAGUUUUGUAUUAUUUACUAUUUAAAUUUUGGUAUAAAUAUAUAGAAAAAAAGUUUUUUAAAAACCACUAAGGAUGGAUUUUGAAUCAUACAAUCUAAUCAUCCCAACAGACUUGAGUUUAACCAAUCAACCCAAGUUUAACUCAACUGACCCAAAUUCAACUUGAGUUUAAAAAAAAUGAGGUUGUGUUGGAUUUCGGUUGAACACCUUCAGUUAGAGGUCAGGUUGGGAUGAGUUGUUGAUUGUUUCUUAAUUUGAGUUACUACAAACCUGACCGACCCACCCAAGUUGCAGCCCUAAUGACAGGCAUAUGAUAUAUACUGAAUAAAUGAUUAUUCAUGUCUGGACUAUUUCAUGCUCACAAUAAAAAUCAAAAGCAAAUUAAAAUGAAGUCAGGAAGUAAUCAAUCAGGCUCAGGAGUAUGGUAGAAGCAAUCUCCUAGGAUAAGGAAGUUCAUGCUCUCCCCAAAUGACUAAAAGAAUAACAUAAAUAUCUCAACGCCUUUUUUUUUAUUUUAAUGUUGAAAAAUGAAUAGAUUCAUUUAAGGCCAUAGAAGACCUUUCAAAAGCUGUAUACCAACUCAAUGAACUGAUUUAAUUUCCAUGAGAAGUAUAAACACCGUCCUCUGAAACUUGUAAAAUGGAAACUGGGAAUGAAACAGCACUUACUGCAUUUGAAGGAGAUGGCCAGCAAUGUAAGGCUGCACCAGCAUGAACAGCAUCAACUGAACCUGUUGAAAAGGGGAGUCUAGAAACGUCUGCCCUAACAAGUGCAAGAUUCCUGCAAGUUAUUCAGUGAAACAUAAAUCAGGAAACCCACACUUUCUUACAAUGGAUAGGUGGCCCCAAAGAAAGUUAAAAGAUAGGACGCCAGAUGAUUUAAGAAAUGUGGCUGCUUCAAUUAAAUUAUCCAAGAGAGGAAGAGAAACUUACGUGGUGGCUAAAGCAGGAUUUUCUUUUUUGAUGAAAUCAUAACAUUGACGAAGCAUAUUUUCAGAAAAAUCAAGUGCAACGACUCCAGAAUAGGUCCCAGAUUCUGCAAAUUUUCGAGAAAAUAAACCACUCCCGCAGCUGACAUCUACCAGAAGACCACCGAUGACAGGUUCAAAGUACUCUUGAGCCAUUUUGAACUGCAUGAAGUCAACAAAGUUGUUAGUUCAUGAAGCAUGACCAGGUCUCAGACUUAGGAAAAGGAUAGCAUACAAGUGGUAGACAGAAAUGACUUCAGAUUAUUUUCCUUGAAGGGCUAACAUGGUGCCAGAUAAAAUUAAUUUUCCAUGACCUGAUAAGAGUCCUGAAAUAAAUAUAUAAAUAAAAUAAUUUCCACAAGAAUCCAGUCUUUUAGAAUAAAGCCCAUGAAGUUCUUCAACUAAUUUAGCACUGCAUUUGGAGCAUAAUGAAAAAAGACAUGACAAGGAAGACUAACCUCUUCAUCACGACCAGGGAAACCACUCUGGUUAAAAUUUUGACGCCAGCCUCUUUCAUACAAGAAUGAAACAAGUGGACUCCUAACAAUGGCAAAACCACCAAAUAUGAGACAUGGACAGUUCCUCAAAUGAUUUUCCAUUGAAAUGAAUUCUUACCGGAAUAGCUCAGUUCUAUUUGGUUGAAGUUCAUUAUAGUCCUUUGAUCCAGCAGUAAUAGUGAGAUCCAGAUACAUGUCUUUGCUGGAGUAUGACUUAUUGCAACUCCUACAUUUGAAACCAGAUCUGUAGAUGGCUGGCCUGCAGAUUAUGCAGCUUUUAAGACAAGCCUUAAACCAGAUCAAUUGUAAGCAAAAAAUAAUUCAGUCUCUAAAAUUCUACCGUGCAUUCCAACUUACAAGUUAAGACCCGGAGGACCUUUUCUUAUUAGAGGUUCAUAACAUACUGGGCAUGAAAACAAGUCAAAUUCCAAACCAUUAUUCAGCUGAGUGCUUGAUUCCUGAAAAUGCAGAUCUUUACUCUUACUAAUUUACUACUAAACAAGAAGAAGAAACCUGAAAAGCAAUUAUAGAAUAAAAUGAUACUUAAUCCUCUGUUCAUAAGAGCUAAAAAUCUUGUUUAACACUGCAAUUCAGAUGUGUUGCAACCUUAGCACAUAACAAAGUUACAAUUACAGUUAAAAAAUGGAUGUUUCGGAUUUUAAACACCUUAAACUACAUAAGAAGGAUCACCAAGAUCAAUGUUGGAAAGUACUUUCAUGGGUUCACAUAGAAACUUCUUCCUGUUUGAACAUAUAUGCUGCAGUGGUAUGUGGAACACAACAUAAUCUGCAGUCCCUUAUCUCAGACAUUUGGCAUCAGCCACAGCAGUUCUGUUCUAUACCCUCCAGUCCAUAAAAAAAUUCUUCAUUUGGAAUAUGAGAUUUUUAAAUGUUUUCAAGUAAGUCCAUAUUAAUCCUUUACUGACAUCAUUCACCAUCUCAGGAGCACAAGAAUUGGGGGAUGAUGUUUAAGUGAUUGCUGUAUACCGACCUAACUUCACCUUAUUGCCUAAUUCCACUAGUUGCGCACCCUACAGGCAUCAAAUCACCCCUAAGGGCAUCAAUGAUUCUAAACAUCGCUGGAAAAUGGUUUUUGAAAUAUAACUUAAAGCCAUUUGUAGGCGAAUGGAAAAUUGAGUUCAAAGUCAUAGGACACCUAUUUUUAGAAAAGACAUUCUUUCUUAAAAGAUGUGUCUAGUAUCUUAAGAUACAACCUUUCCAACUGGUGUGUCUAGUGUCUUAGAGACACAACCAUUCCAAUUGGCACUACCUACAACUACAAAUACCAUGACAUUUCAUUGAUCCCAACAAUCAUCCAUCUCUCUCUCAAUUCCAAAGUAUGGUAUAUAUUCCAUUCCAAGUCACAUGUGAGAUACAAGUGUAUAGUUUUAUAGCAUCCAAGCUUUUGUAGAGUACAACACAUUGUUUGAUUCAUUGUAUUUUGUGAUUUGAAGUGCUACUAUCAUAAGAAAGUGAUGUUGUAUCUUAAGAGACAAUUAUUAUUAAACUGUAAGCACUUGAGCGGGACAAAUUUGUCUUAAGGACAUAGAGUCAAACUCUAGCCUUAGCCAACCUUAUUUGUGAGUUUAAUUUAUGUUUGUUUUGUUUAUUUUAUACAUUUAUUAGACCAUAUAUUUUCAAUUAGUUGCACAACAAUCUUAAGACAAAUUUUUUUAUUGUUUGAUUAUUAUGGCAUGUUGCCUAUGGUGGGAAGCUAGAGAAGCUCAUUGGAAUGGACUUCAAGAGGUGGCAACAAAAAGAAAUGUUGUUCUACCCAACAACGCUAAAUCUUGCUCAAGUCUUAUAUGAGGAUGCCCAAUAUGUUAAAGGGGGUGAAAUAAAUAAGCAAGUGUAGGAAGUUGUGGAAACUUUGAAUCAUUCUAACUUCCUGUGCAAAAAGUACAUCCUCAAUGGUUUGGACAACACAAUAUAUAAUGUGUAUAGUUCAAUAAAUACUACGAAGGAACUAUCGGAGUUCUUAAGGAAGAAAUAUAAUAUAGAGAAUACUAGCUUGAAGAAUUUCAUAGUCACAAGAGUUUAGGAUUUCAAGAUGAUAGAUUCCAAGAUAGUCAUAGUGAAGUCCAAGAGCCACAAUUCAUUCUAUAAGAAAUACAUGUAGAAAAGAUGGUGUUGAGUGAAUUCUUCCAAAUUGUAGCUAUAAUUGAAAAUUUGAAAUCUUCUUGGAAAGAAAUGUAACUCCAUAUAAGUUAGGAAAGGAAAAAGGUUCUCCUAUAGAUACUUGAAAGUGUGGGGACAUUCGGCUAAAAUAGUUGUUUUUAACCUUAAAUCCACCAAUGAUCAUGUAUUCACAAUGAGAGGACGACCCAUAUCAUAAAAGUCCUUAAAAUAAAGGUGAAUUACCAUUUCCACCAUGGGAUCUGAAUUUGUAGUGCUAGAUAAAGUAGGAGAAGUAGAAUGACUUUAUAACUUUUUGCGAGGGCAUAACAUGCUGGUUAAAAACCUAUGUCUAAAAUAAGCAUACAUUGUGAUAAUCAAUUAGCUAUUGAAAGGCCACAAAAUAGCAUAUAUAAUGGUAAUGUUAAAGAUUAUGGGCAGCCAAUUACUUUCAAAUGGAAAUUUCCAUUCAUUAUAUUGAAUCAUAGGAUAACCUUGCAAAUCUACUUACUAAAGGUUUAUCAAAAGAUCAAGUUAACUACUCAUCAAGGGGAAAGGAAUUAAAGCCUAUAACCAAAGAGACUUCACAAUGGUAACCCAACCUAGUUGACUAGAGAUCCCUAAAUCUAGGUUCAAAGAGAUAACUAAGUUAUGAAUGAUUAAGACAAGCACUAUAGAGAUAAUCUCUCAUUCUUAUUCCUAUGAUGAAAUAGUGUUAUUUGCAGCACAAGCUAGGUCAAGCUUUGCUUUUAAUGAACUCUAUAGCUUGAAUAACCAUGUGGAGUAUGGCAGGAUACUCUUAAUAGGAAUCACUUAUUGUUAUGAUAGAGCCCUUUAAAGCAUAACAUGAUGUAACAAAUUUGGAAUUUAUUAUUUAUUUAUUUCCACUAUCCGAGUGUCUAGCUUCAAAAAGGAGUCAUUGGGCAUAAUAUAGGAGGUUUACGAGAUCACUUCCGAUUAUCACACCAUCAAACAACAAUCUUCACCAUAAGGAUUUUAUUUGGGAACAUUCAAAUAUGAGUUAAAUAUUCUAAACCCGUAAUUUAGAUCUUGUAAAGCUUUUGAAUGCUUUGUUUUUGUUAUGCAUAGGAUCUAGUAGCCCUAGGAAUAGUUUCAUGCAUCUAACAAAAUCCAAGGCUUGGGAAUGGAGUAAUCCAAAGUUCUCAUCACCUAUAGGAUCUAGUAGCCCUAAGGAUAGUUUCUACAAGUAAUUUUGAGGCUUCAAUUCUCUAGAACACUCAGGAACACUAGGAGUUGUUCAAGGCCAAACUAAACACAACUGUGAGAAUCAACAAUGUUUGGAAAGAGUUGUUAUCCAUCCUAAUGCAACUUCUUUCCAAAUAGUACUCUCUGAAUUGUCAGCAUGUCACUUGCAAGUUCCUUCAUGUGGGAGAUUAUUGGAAAGUGAUUUUUGAAAAAUAACUUACAACCAUUACAAAUGAAUGAAAAAAUUGAGUUCAAGGUGACAGGACACCUAUUUUCAUAAAAGACAUUCUUUUUUAAAAUAUGCAUUUAGUAUCUUAAGACACAACCUUUCCAAUAGGCGUGUCUAGUGUCUUAGAGACACAACCAUUCCAAUAGGCACUACCCACCAUUAUAAAUAGGGGACUCCCUCCAUGAUAUUUCAUUGGUUCCAACAAUCAUCUAUCUUUCCUUCCUUUCCAAGUCAUUCCCAAGUAUGGUAUUUCAUUCGAACCAAGUGUAGUGUUCCAUUCCAUGCCAUUCCCAAGUGUAGAAUUCCAUUCCAAGUCAAGUGGGAGCUGCAAGUGUGCAAAUUAUAGCAUCCAAGCUUUUGUAGAGAGGACAAUGCAUUGUUUGACUCGUUGUUUUUUGUGCUUUGAAGUGCUACUAUCACAAGAAAGCGGCCAUUGUAUCCUAGGAGACGAUUGCUACUAAAUCAUAAGCACUUAAAUGAGACAAAUUUGUCUUAAGGAUAUAGAAUCAAACUUUAGUCUCAAUCAACCUUAUUCAUGAGUCUAAUUUCUAUUUGCUUUAUUUAUUUUACACACUUAUUAGUCCAUAUAUUUUUAACAAUUUGCACAACAAACAUCACCAAAGAUCCAGCAUUGAACACCAAGGAAGUAUCUUUAAUAUCUUGCAAAUUGUGUACAAAAAUAAAACCAUUCCCUAAGGGCUUCAUCCAAAAAAAUACACACUCAUGCACAUUGCCGAACAUCCAGCAACAAUUUCAACCAGAAAAUCCCUCUAAUUUGUGCAGAAACAAAAAGGUUCUGAACUAAACUUUAAUUGUCAAAAACCCCAGUGCUUGAUCUGUUCUCAAAGGAAAUGUUUUCAUGAAAAAAUUGUUCAUGAAAAAGAAAUCAAUUUCAGGUUGAAAGAAAGGUCUUUUCUGAAAUGAGACGUGACCCAACUUUAAUUGUGAUAUGCCCAUCAACAUUAUAAAUGCUCUGUUUGGUUGAUGAGAAAAGUGCAGGAGAAAAAUAAGAAGUCAAAUUUUAAAUUUUGGGCAUUCCAUUAUCUCAUAGCCAAUAAAACAAAAAUCAUUAUUCAAGUAUAUCUAAUAUAAGGUCGUUUCUUCAUUCACUUAGAAACCAAAAGAAUAAUAAUAAUAAGUUUUCAAAUCCAACAACUUCCCUACGACUAUAAUUAAGCGAAAAUACAAACAAAUAUGGCAGUUUGAUUAUUCAGAAAUUGAUGGAGAAAAACAAAAAUUUGACAUGCUAAACCUUUAGGGAAACACUAAAAUUUAAACAUGUUAAAGCUUUUCUCAGCAACCAAACAAGAAGAGAGGAAAAUACCGGUUCAAGAGCGACUGCUGAGCUAGCACGAAUUCUGGAGGGAAAGCGAAGAGAGGAAAGACGAAGGGGAGGGUGGAAUCGAGAACUGCGAGAAAGAGAAGGAUAUUGUGGGAAUAUGGGUUGGUGAAGGGAGGAAGAAGCCGUCGCCAUGUUCAGACCCUCUUCAACUUCUUCUUCUUCUUUCUUGUUCUGUGUUUGGUUGAUGAUUAUUUCAUUUGAAUCUUAUGGAGGUAGUGGGACAAACGUACAUGUACAUAUCAUCUCAUAAAUUUGGCACUAUUUUAAAGGGGUGAAAAUACCAAGUAUUAUUUGUUUAUUGUGUGGUUUGGCUUCUUAUUACACUCCCUAAGGUUCAUGGACCAUGGCCCAUGGCCCGUGAUAUUGAAUUUUUGGUCCAAAUUGACCCUUUUGUUACUCAAAUAUACAUUUGGGGUACCUCUUAAAACUUGAAAUAAUUGAUCAGAAUUGCCCUUAUUUUUAUGUCUACUUAUUUUGUUUUUUUUUUUUCUCGUUUUGAAUUAGUUUGAAAUUAUAUCUAGAAAAUAUAACGUGUUAUUUGUUUUUUUAAUUUUUUUUAAAUAAUUUGCUUUCAUCAGAUAAUUUAUUUAUUUAUUUUAUCUAUUUAUUACUUAUUUCCUUUUUUUAUUGAAUUGAAAAAAUUAAAACAUUUAAAUUUUUUUAAAAUACUAAAAAUAAAUUAUCAUAACAUAAAUAAACUUGAUUAUUUUCAUUUUUAAUACUUAAUAAAAAUAAAAUAUUAAAAAUAAACAAAUUAAUACUUAAUACUAUUAAAUACUAUUUAAUUUUUAAUUUUAUUUAAAAUUAAGUAAAAAAUAAAACCUCACAUUACUUAUUACAUUUCUUAAUCUAUAAUUUCUAAACUAUAUAGGAGCCUUUUUAAAAUAAGUUUUCAAAUUAAUUUCAAGAAAUCCUAAUAUAACUUAUAUGAUGGCAAAGACUGAAUUUCAAGAUAAAUAUGGUCAAAUAAUAAUUUUGUUACAUUAUUUUUGGAACAAAAAUAAGAAUAACGAGAAAUAGUAUGCCUAAACCAUACUUAAGUGAGAAGUCUAUAACUAUACUUAUCGAACGUCCCAGAUUUUCGAUCAUGGGACACGGCUAGAGAAUCUGUGACAAGCAUUGUAGAUGAUAGACAUGAUGUUCCACACAAUAAAAGCCCAUGGAAGGAUAUGAGGAGUAUAAACACAAGGCCACGAGGCAAAGGAGAUAAAAACUGAAGAAACAGGCCAAAAAAACAAUAUUAACUGUUAUAGGCUUGAGAAAGCACAGAGGCCACUCCCAUGGCUACCAUCAAGCCAUUACUUCCACUUUCUCCUUCCCCUUCCUUGAAGCAUGCCAUUCCCUCUCCCUCUCCAUGGAUUUUCUGCAAACCCACCUUUGAUUCCACGGUUUCUCUUUCCAUGUCACACUUGAAUCGCCUUCCACGACUAGUCGCUGUCUCUGUGGCCUUCAACCCUUCUGGGAAUUUUGACCUCUCUAUAUAUGACGAUGAAGAUGGUAUGAACUUCUUUUCAUUAAUCAUGAAAUAUUUUUAUGGGUCCUCAAUCUCUCUUAUGGGAUUGCUUUGUGAUGCAAUUUUUUGUAGCUGUCUGCUCAUGAAUUUUUCAUUCGCUUAGAACUUGAAUAGAUAAGUACAGCAGAGUAGUUGGAAUUGAGCUGGGCUGAGUUUGGAAAUGAUUCUUGGAUAUUAUCCUAAAAUUUUCCAGAUUGACAAAUUUUGACUGGCAGAUUCAACUAAAGUUUCCCCGCCAAUGCCUCCCACAGAAGGUCGGAUUGAAGUUGUUAUUGAUAAUGAUGUUAUUCGCCGUCUUGACUUGUCCCCAUUCCACACUGCAACUGGAAUUACUUCACCUUCAUCUGGUGAGCAUCAUGUUGAGAAACUGAAGGAGUAAAUGGUUCUUAAAUUAUUGGACCUAGACUGAUUAAAUUUUCCUGGUAAUGUUGUUGUAGCUGAACCAAAGGAGUUUCUUGAACGUACAAUUGGGUUUACCAUUAACUAUACAAGAGAAGAUCCACAUGAUCCUCGAGAACUAUCGGAGUUCCCUGACAUUCGACUCUGGUUUGUGAGGCUUGAUGCUACUUAUCCAUGGCUACCUGUAGUGUUGGAUUGGCGAGCUGGAGAGCUUGCUCGUUAUACAGCCAUGUUGGUUCCUCACCAGGUAUUAAAUGUGUGUGUACGAGGGAGAGAGGGAGAGGGAUAGGGAGAAGUUGAGAUUUAAUGGUCUAAUUUCUAAAAUUUUCUGUUGGCAGAUGAAUAUGAGGAUGGGGGUUGUCUUUAAUCCAGAGGCACUGGAGCUGUUCAUAAUGAAGAAGGUUUUUGUUGUUUACUCUUGGUUGAAGCAACAUAAAAUUCCAAAGCCUAGAUUGAAGACAAGUGACAUGGCCCGGAUGCUUGGUUUUGGGAUUGGAGAUGAAUUGUUCGACUUGAUUGAUCAACACCCACUUGCUCCAUCAUAACCAAGACCUCCAAGAUUUUCAAAUGAAGUCCAUAAUUCAUCACAAAAUGUCACUUCUGUGCCCAAUGGCUGUAAAUCAAUAUUAAGGAGAUGCUGCAAGGAAGCAUCGGAAGUUCAGCAGAGCAUAUAGAUUCCAGUUUGAAAGGUAGAUGUGUUUACUCCAUAUUUUUGUAAUCAAGUUCUGUCCUUACAAACAAAUGCUAGAAUGCUCAUAUCAAAUCUGUUUCAAUCACUUUCUGGCAUGCUCUUGAUUGUUUUUAUUUUAUUUUUUCCAUUGCAGUUGUCUGUCUUAAUAACUUUUACAACCAAAACUAUACAUUUGAUAAGAAACUUUCAAACUGGAACAGCAGAAGGAAGAGGGUGAUUAGGCUUUAAUAUCAGAGAAGUUUCCCUGUUCAAAUAUCAACAUACAGGAUUUGUUCUGUACAUAUUGCCAUACAAAUUCAAGACCCUGGGAAAGAGAAUCCCUAGUAGAUAAAGAAAAAUGAAAUUAGGGGAGAGCUAUAAAUUCCUUACCAGACGUAAAUUCCCUCAUGAGGGAAAGAAAGUUUUGAGUUAGAGUACAUAUUUACAGACUAUGAAUCUGUGGGAGUACAAGCCCUGUUGUAGAUAAACCAGUAGAUUUGCAUAUUGGGCAGAGAUUUUUGCUUCUUAGCCACUGUUGAAUACAAGCACUAUGGAAGCUAUGGUCACAAUCCAGUACUCCCAAUUCAUCGUCUUCCACAUAGUCCUCCUGCCAAAGAGCCAAAAUAACCAUGUCAUCCACUUAUGUUUCCAUUGUGGAAAGAACUGAGAGAAUGACUCUUCCAUUCUUUUUUCUUUGUUUGAGUGAACAAAGAGAAUGGUAGAAGACCUGGCAGAUGCUGCAACAUUCUUUACUAGCAUUCUCUUCUCCAAAUAAAAAGUAUUUAGUAUGUUUGAGGGAUUCCAGAACUUCUUCCUCAGACAAACCAGUAUUGGCAUACCCCAUAUGAUCUUCCAGGGCCAGGAGCUCCUGAUGUAUGCAAAGAGACAGAAAUGUAAACAAACAGUGAGUGAUAAGUACAUAACUUGUAGAAAGUAUGACUGAUAUGAGGUACCUCAUAGGACAUGUUAUCCACAUCAAGCCUCAUGUCUCUGUAACGGUCAUGCAUCUCUGUUGUAUAAAAUAGUGGUAAUUGGCUA
This 36540-nucleotide long non-coding RNA is filed under the name Vitis vinifera (wine grape). RNAcentral's name for it is "long non-coding RNA (VVIN_LNC003449)". Lineage: Eukaryota; Viridiplantae; Streptophyta; Magnoliopsida; Vitales; Vitaceae. The record is from RNAcentral.